Lysinibacillus sp. BF-4 is the source of this 178-nucleotide non-coding RNA. NCBI's taxonomy places the organism in Bacteria, Bacillati, Bacillota, Bacilli, Caryophanales, Bacillaceae. The record is from Rfam.
AUUUGAGAUAGAGGCGCAAGUUUCAUGAGUAUACAAUGCGAGAGUGAGCAAACUCCGUGACCAUUGUAAAAAGGGACACUUGCCGAAGCCAUAGCCAGUUGUUCCUGGUAGUGGGCUGGUUUUGCAUUGAAUAAAUGUAAAACUGUCGAAAUGUUUAUUUCGUUGAGCUAUCUGCCAU